Molecule: non-coding RNA, 71 nt
Submitted as: unclassified sequences
Source: Rfam
GAAGUGCGAACCAAGUGUCGGCGGAAACGUCGUGUCAGACUUGGAGCGGGUGCCCGCAAGGACACCCUGCA